This 302-nucleotide ribosomal RNA is filed under the name uncultured bacterium. RNAcentral describes it as "partial 16S ribosomal RNA". It matches the Rfam family "Bacterial small subunit ribosomal RNA", at positions 508 to 807 of the family's 1533-position model. The record is from RNAcentral.
GCAGUAGCCGCGGGAAUACGGAGGGUGCAAGCGUUAAUCGGAAUUACUGGGCGUAAAGCGCACGCAGGCGGUCUGACAAGUCAGAUGUGAAAUCCCCGGGCUUAACCUGGGAACUGCAUUUGAAACUGUCAGGCUGGAGUCUUGUAGAGGGGGGUGGAAUUCCAGGUGUAGCGGUGAAAUGCGUAGAGAUCUGGAGGAAUACCGGUGGCGAAGGCGGCCCCCUGGACAAAGACUGACGCUCAGGUGCGAAAGCGUGGGGAGCAAACAGGAUUAGAUACCCGGGUAGUCCCUGUCUCUUAUAC